RNAcentral lists this ribosomal RNA (1372 nucleotides) under uncultured bacterium. RNAcentral describes it as "bacterial SSU rRNA". It matches the Rfam family "Bacterial small subunit ribosomal RNA", at positions 28 to 1381 of the family's 1533-position model. The record is from RNAcentral.
GAUGAACGCUGGCGGCGUGCCUAAUACAUGCAAGUCGAGCGAACGGACGAGAAGCUUGCUUCUCUGAUGUUAGCGGCGGACGGGUGAGUAACACGUGGAUAACCUACCUAUAAGACUGGGAUAACUUCGGGAAACCGGAGCUAAUACCGGAUAAUAUUUUGAACCGCAUGGUUCAAAAGUGAAAGACGGUCUUGCUGUCACUUAUAGAUGGAUCCGCGCUGCAUUAGCUAGUUGGUAAGGUAACGGCUUACCAAGGCAACGAUGCAUAGCCGACCUGAGAGGGUGAUCGGCCACACUGGAACUGAGACACGGUCCAGACUCCUACGGGAGGCAGCAGUAGGGAAUCUUCCGCAAUGGGCGAAAGCCUGACGGAGCAACGCCGCGUGAGUGAUGAAGGUCUUCGGAUCGUAAAACUCUGUUAUUAGGGAAGAACAUAUGUGUAAGUAACUGUGCACAUCUUGACGGUACCUAAUCAGAAAGCCACGGCUAACUACGUGCCAGCAGCCGCGGUAAUACGUAGGUGGCAAGCGUUAUCCGGAACUAUUGGGCGUAAAGCGCGCGUAGGCGGUUUUUUAAGUCUGAUGUGAAAGCCCACGGCUCAACCGUGGAGGGUCAUUGGAAACUGGAAAACUUGAGUGCAGAAGAGGAAAGUGGAAUUCCAUGUGUAGCGGUGAAAUGCGCAGAGAUAUGGAGGAACACCAGUGGCGAAGGCGACUUUCUGGUCUGUAACUGACGCUGAUGUGCGAAAGCGUGGGGAUCAAACAGGAUUAGAUACCCUGGUAGUCCACGCCGCAAACGAUGAGUGCUAAGUGUUAGGGGGUUUCCGCCCCUUAGUGCUGCAGCUAACGCAUUAAGCACUCCGCCUGGGGAGUACGACCGCAAGGUUGAAACUCAAAGGAAUUGACGGGGACCCGCACAGGCGGUGGAGCAUGUGGUUUAAUUCGAAGCAACGCGAAGAACCUUACCAAAUCUUGACAUCCUUUGACAACUCUAGAGAUAGAGCCUUCCCCUUCGGGGGACAAAGUGACAGGUGGUGCAUGGUUGUCGUCAGCUCGUGUCGUGAGAUGUUGGGUUAAGUCCCGCAACGAGCGCAACCCUUAAGCUUAGUUGCCAUCAUUAAGUUGGGCACUCUAAGUUGACUGCCGGUGACAAACCGGAGGAAGGUGGGGAUGACGUCAAAUCAUCAUGCCCCUUAUGAUUUGGGCUACACACGUGCUACAAUGGACAAUACAAAGGGCAGCGAAACCGCGAGGUCAAGCAAAUCCCAUAAAGUUGUUCUCAGUUCGGAUUGUAGUCUGCAACUCGACUACAUGAAGCUGGAAUCGCUAGUAAUCGUAGAUCAGCAUGCUACGGUGAAUACGUUCCCGGGUCU